RNAcentral lists this ribosomal RNA (754 nucleotides) under uncultured archaeon. RNAcentral describes it as "bacterial SSU rRNA". It matches the Rfam family "Archaeal small subunit ribosomal RNA", at positions 102 to 859 of the family's 1478-position model. The record is from RNAcentral.
AGUCAACAUAACCAGAGGACGUGGAUAAACUCGGGAAACUGAGGCUAAACCGCGAUAGACCAAGAUACCUGGAAUGGUUUUUGAUCAAAAUCUAUAUGGCCCUUGGAUUGGACUGCGGCCGAUCAGGCUGUUGGUGAGGUAAUGGCCCACCAAACCUGUAACCGGUACGGGCUCUGAGAGGAGGAGCCCGGAGAUGGGUACUGAGAAAAGGACCCAGGCCCUAUGGGGCGCAGCAGGCGCGAAAUCUCUGCAAUAGGCGAAAGCUUGACAGGGUUACUCUGAGUGAUUCCCGCUAAGGGGAUCUUUUGGCACCUUUAAAAAUGGUGCAGAAUAAGGGGUGGGCAAGUCUGGUGUCAGCCGCCGCGGUAAUACCAGCACCCCGAGUGGUCGGGACGAUUAUUGGGCCUAAAGCAUCCGUAGCCGGUACUGCAAGUCUUCCGUUAAAUCCACCUGCUUAACAGUUGGGCUGCGGGGGAUACUACAGCGCUAGGAGGCGGGAGAGGCAAGCGGUACUCAAUGGGUAGGGGUAAAAUCCGCUGAUCCAUUGAAGACCACCAGUGGCGAAGGCGGCUUGCCAGAACGCGCUCGACGGUGAGGGAUGAAAGCUGGGGGAGUAAACCGGAUUAGAUACCCGGGUAGUCCCAGCUGUAAACGAUGCAGACUCGGUGAUGGGCUGGCCUUGUGCCAGCCCAGUGCCGCAGGGAAGCCGUUAAGUCUGCCGCCUGGGGAGUACGGUCGCAAGACUGAAACUUAA